GGCAAGAUGGCCGAGUGGUAAGGACUCCUUUAUCCGGAUAUCAGCUUCGGAGGCGUGAGUUCGAACCUCACUCUUGUCG
RNAcentral lists this transfer RNA (79 nucleotides) under Talaromyces stipitatus ATCC 10500. RNAcentral describes it as "tRNA-Sup (TCA) (tRNA-Sup-TCA-1-1)". It matches the Rfam family "tRNA". Rfam says of the family: Transfer RNA (tRNA) molecules are approximately 80 nucleotides in length. Their secondary structure includes four short double-helical elements and three loops (D, anti-codon, and T loops). Lineage: Eukaryota; Fungi; Ascomycota; Eurotiomycetes; Eurotiales; Trichocomaceae. The record is from RNAcentral.